This 515-nucleotide ribosomal RNA is filed under the name uncultured bacterium. RNAcentral describes it as "partial 16S ribosomal RNA". It matches the Rfam family "Bacterial small subunit ribosomal RNA", at positions 29 to 523 of the family's 1533-position model. The record is from RNAcentral.
AACGAACGCUGGCGGCGUGCCUAACACAUGCAAGUCGAACGGAAUGAGGGGCUUGCUCCUCAUUUAGUGGCGCACGGGUGAGUAACGCGUAGAUAAUCUGCCUGAUGAUCUGGGAUAACAUUUCGAAAGAGGUGCUAAUACCUGAUAAGCCCACGACGGCCUUGGUCGUUGCGGGAAAAGGGGGGGACCAUUUGGCCUUCUGUCAUCAGAUGAGUCUGCGUACCAUUAGCUAGUUGGUAGGGUAAAGGCCUACCAAGGCGACGAUGGUUAGCUGGUCUGAGAGGAUGAUCAGCCACACUGGAACUGAGACACGGUCCAGACUCCUACGGGAGGCAGCAGUGGGGAAUUUUGCGCAAUGGGCGAAGCCUGACGCAGCAACGCCGCGUGAGUGAUGAAGGCUUUCGGGUCGUAAAGCUCUGUCAAUGGGAAAGAAGUGUAUUGUGGCUAAUAUCCACGAUACUUGACGGUACCCAUAGAGGAAGCACCGGCUAACUCCGUGCCAGCAGCCGCCGUAA